Molecule: ribosomal RNA, 253 nt
Filed under: uncultured bacterium
Lineage: Bacteria
Description: partial 16S ribosomal RNA
Rfam family: Bacterial small subunit ribosomal RNA
Source: RNAcentral
UACGUAGGGCGCAAGCGUUGUCCGGAAUUAUUGGGCGUAAAGAGCUCGUAGGCGGCCUGUUGCGUCCGCUGUGAAAACCCGGGGCUUAACCUGGGAAUUGCAGUGGAUACUGGCAAGCUAGAGUGCGGUAGAGGAUGGUGGAAUUCCCGGUGUAGCGGUGAAAUGCGUAGAGAUCGGGAGGAACACCCGUGGCGAAGGCGGCCAUCUGGACCAGCACUGACGCUGAGGCACGAAAGCGUGGGGAGCAAACAGG